GAAAAGAAAUAUUAAGCUAAAAAUAUUAUCUUAUUUCUUGUAAAGAACGAGAGGGUUACAAGCUUAUAUACAAGUGUCAAAGCCAGCCAAAUCUCUUAGAGUAAUGACUAGACAGGCUGUCCUAUUUACAUUAUGGAAUGGAAUCAUUUGUACAUAAGAAAUAUCAAGGAUACUUGCACAAAAUAAAGAUGGUGCCUAGAAUAAGGGAUCGUUGAUGACAAAUCUUCGAGGAUGCUCAUCUUUAUUGUGAUUUUGUUGAGAUAUUUACCGCCAAUAAUAUUUGUGGCCAUGUGGCUGAUUAAUCGUGGGCUGUAGCUACUGAUUGUAUGGUUUAUCACUCAUCUCAUGAUAAUUUCCUUUAGCAUACACCACCGUUUGAAAUAGGCUCUGCCAUGGCAAUCACGACAGAGUUAUCCUUUUUCAAUGUAUGUGAAAAAAAAGAAAAAAGACUAAAAUGAAUGACAAAAGAGUUAAACUUAUUUGCACUUCUAUUCAAUCUACUGGUGUAGCUAGGACUUAAAUCCAGUUAUUUUGGGGACUGUUGUGGACUCGGCUUAGAAUUUAUAGGUAUUUAACCCAAAAUACUAGCAUAUUAGAUGAGAGAUUUAUCCUACUAGCAUGUUAGAUGAGACAUCCUACUUAUAUACCCAAAUAACUUCCUUUAUUAGUAAAUAUGAGACACAACUUAAUAAAAAACAAAUAAAUUUUAAACUUUUAUUAAAAAUAAAAUGAUUUUCUGAAAAAAAAAUAUUAUGAGAAUUCAAUCAUCCUGCUGUACCGUACAUCCGCCUUGGCCGUACAGCAGUGCUAAAAUUUUUAAAUUGUAUUUUUAUUUUUCGAUAUCUUUUCAUCAGUGACAGGGAUGAUAAUGGGGCAUAUAUCAGCUGGAUUUAUUAUGUUCUAAUUCUUGAUUAAUAAUAAAAAUUGAGAUUUAUAUUUAUUCUAAAUUCGUUAUGGGUUUAUGAUUUUUAUUCCAUAUCUAAAUUUAAAUUUAAAAUAAAGGUUCAAAUAUGCUACAAAUCCAUUUUGAAUUUAUUAAUUUUUAUUUUAAAAUUUUAUUGUUAUUACAAAAUAUUAAUAAAUUUAUUUUAUUAAACUUUAAAGCUUGAUAAGAAUAAUAAGAGCACAAAAAUAUUUGAGAAAAAACGUCUUACUAUCAACUAAAACACAUAAUUCAUCUUAAAUAAAAUUAAAAAUAAUACUUUGAAUUUCAUAUAAAUUUGAUAAUAUAUUGCAUCUUAUAAAUGUGGUAUUGAUUUCAGCAAGCUAGGUAUAAAUUUAAUUUGAUUGUAAAAGUAUUAAACAAUCGAUAGUUUAAUACUUUUAAAAAUAAAAUAAAAUUAAAUGAUUUCUAGUUAGAUAUGGAUACGGAUCCGAAUUUUAAGUUAGAUUUGUAUACAUGCUUUAAAUUUAUUUUGAAUUUACUCAUCUAGAUUCAUACGUACCCACUCCAAAUUCAUUUUAUACUGAUCCAAAUAUGAUAAAUUUAUAUUUAGAUUAAGUGGAUCAUGGAUCGAAACCGUCCCAUUAUCGUCGGCUCAGGAUUUUGUUUAUGAUUUGGCAACAAUUGUUUACAUGAUAACCGCAAUUAAAAGGGUAACUUACAAAUUAAAAUAAAUUUAAAAUAAAAUAUCUAGAAUUAUUUUAGAAGACGCAUCAGAAGCUUGCAUUCGAGAGCAUAAUGGAAAGUGGAAACUCAACCACCAUCAUUAUUCAAAUAGAUAACAUUAAAAAUUUUGUCCAAAAGGACAUUGACAUGGAAUUUGUCGAAAAGCUAUGAUUCUUUCAUUGCCUGGCUUAUUUUAUACUCAUGCUUCUUUUACUAGAUCUCUUCUUUUUCAUUUUUUUUAAAGUUUUUGUGUGUCAAGUAGUUCUACCUUUUAUUUGUUCGCUUUUUUUUACCUUGCUUGUUUUGGUCUCAUUGUUUGUUUGAACAAGUGAGUUUUGUUAUUUGAAAAAAAUUAAAUUAAUAGGUAUCAUAUAUUAAAAUAGAAGGUAUAUUUGUUGCAAAACAUAAAGAAAAUUUAAAAUUUAGAAAUCUAAAGUUACAUACCAUUCCAUACUUGUUAAUCAAAUUUGUGAAGAUUGCUAAUGAUUAUUGCAAUAGUAUCCACAAAAAAGAUUUUUAUUUUUGUAAUUUUAUCAUUUUAUGAGAGAUAAGAUUGAAGGACAAUUGUGGAAUAAAGAUGGUUGUUUUUAGAAGUGAUAUAAUUUUUCAUUUAUUUGAUUGGGUGUAUUUAAAAAGGGGUCUUAAAAAGAUUUUGAAGGAGUGCUAGUAGUUCCAUUCUUUAUCAAAUUAGCCUUAAAAGUAGCAUUAAAAGUUUGACAGUAAAAUUUUUUUUAUGUUAUUAUUUUACUUUUAGGAUUAAUUUGGUAAAUUAAUUUUUUAUAAAAUAACUAUUAAUAAAAUUAUUGCAAGGAUGAUAAACAUUACUUUAAGUUGACUAAUAUUAAUUUUUAUUUAUAAAGAAAUUAUUAGCACGAUUGUCGCACAUGUACAAACAAUACUAGUUCUUUUAUACUAAUAUUUAUUGGUUAAUUUAUUACAAAAUAAUUAUUGGUUAAUUUUCUAAUUAAACUUUUAUAGAUAAAUUAAUUAAUGUCAAGAAUAUUAUUAUAAGGGCAUUAUUAUAAAAGCAAAGCAAAAGUAAGAUUAAGAAUGUAAUAUAUUCAACUACAACUUAUUUUGAGAUAUUUUCAAAAUAUAAGGAAUAAAUAAACACUUAAGUUAAAAUAGAGGACUAAAGGGGUAUUUGUUCAUUUAUUUAAAUCAUUUUCCAGAUGACAUGCAAUUUUUUGGUUGAGUGAGAUGUGAUCCAUUCACGCAUCUACCAAUACUAUAUGUGACUCAUGCUCUUUUACAUCUGGAGGCCGAAUCAUCAGGAUUUCAGCGAAUUGAAGUGGCUGAUGUGAGAUGAUAAAGGGGGGAAAAUGGAAAAUUUAAGUUUAUCUAUCAUAAUUUUCAUUUUAAUAUCACAUGAUUAAAUGGAAUAUCUUAUUAGUGCAGUCAUAGAUUUUUUUUUCAUAUGUAUUUGAAUUAAGAUUCUAUCAUGAUAUGAACUUAUUUAAAUAAAAUUCAUCGUGAAUAAUUAGUGAUUAAUAAAUAAAAAUAUAACAAUAGUUAAAUUUAAUUAUAUACCAUCAUGGCGUUCAAGUACAUACCUUUUUCUGCAAAUGUGAAUCAAUUUUUUUUUUUUCAAUUUCGAAAUAUUUAGAAUCAGAUCUACUUCUGAGCUUUAAAACCAUGAUCUAUUUAUAUUCUUGAAAAAAAAAAAAGAUAUCAUGUGAUCAUAAGAAAAUAAAACUAGUUAAUAUAAUAAUUGAAUAUUAUACAAUAUAUGGUAUUGACAUCAAAGUGUUUAGUAAGUAGUAGUUGUUGUAACUCAAAAAUUAAGUUGAUUUGAUCUUGCAUUUGUAUAAUAAAAAAUCUAUUUUUGUUUGGCUGGUAAUAAUAAUUUAAAUAAUAUUUCUUUGCUAAACUGAGGAAAAGUGGCGUGGAAAGGUUCCCAAUUCUCCCAUGUAGCUUCAUCAUGUGUGGUGUUAGACCACUGCACUAAGACUUGCUUGACCUUUUGCUUAUUUUUCUUAACAGUUCGCUGGUCUAAAAUGCAUAGAGGUAUGGAAUAAGAUUAUGCAGUUAGUGGUGGGUGGGCGGGAAUAGCUUCAGCAGGGUUUGGACAUAGCUUGAGGAUUGAAAUGUGGAACAUGAGAUGGAUACGAGAUUCAAGUAGUAACAAUAAGCGAUAUGCAAUUUUUCCAACUCUUGCAGUUAUUUGGUAAGGACCAUAAUACUUCUUGGCAAGCUUGUUACUUAGACGGUGAGCAAGAGAAGAUUGUCGAUAAGGUUGAACCUUAACAUAAACCCAGUUACCAACCUCAAACUCCUUAUCGCGACGAUGACGAUUUGCUUGGGUGCACAUUCUUUCCUGUGCUCUCUGAAGGUUAAGCUUCAUAGUAGCCAAUAGAGCUUCUCUAUCCAACAAUGCAGAGUUUAAAGAAUCAAUAGGGGUGUCUUCGCUGGAGUAUCCUACAAGAAGUGGUGGGGGCCUGCCAUAAACAACUUGGAAUGGUGAAAACCUUGUAGAACUGUGUGUACUGGUAUUCUACCAAUAUUCUGCCCAUGGUAAAGCUGCAGACCAUCUAUUUGGAUAGUCUCAAGUAAAUGCUCGCAAGUAUGUCUCGAGACAACGGUUGACCACUUCCGUUUGCCCGUCAAUUUGCGGGUGAUAAGCAGUGGCCGUAACUCCGUUCCCUGUAAUUUAAAUACUUCUCGCCAAAAUUCACUAAUGAACAGAGGGUCACGAUCAGUAACAAUUGAUUUAGGAAAUCCAUGAAGUCGAACAUACUCGCGAACAAAAUAUUUAGCCAAUUACGGUGCAGUAACUCCCUCAGGCAAGGCACAGAAAUGACCAUACCUGGACAAUCUAUCAACAAUGACCCAAAUAACUGUCUUACCAUUUGAUUGUGGUAAAGAAGUAAUGAAAUCCAUGGAAAUGUCUUCCUAGACUCUUGAUGAUAUGGGCAGUGGUUGUAAAAGCCCUUUGGAACAAAAGUUUUCUGGUUUGGUUUGCUAACAAAUUAGACAUUCUCGGACAUGUUGCUGUACAUCUUAACACAUUUGCGGCCAAUAAAAAUUGGCUGAUAAUCGAGCAUAAGUCUUCUGUUCCCUAGAAUGCCCACCAAUCGCCGAGCCAUGGAAUAGAUUCAGAAGGUGUUUUCUGAGCUCCAUACUGUUGGGAACAAAAAUUCUACCCUGAUGGUAAAGUAAGCUUUGUUGAAUAGAAAAAUUAUUAUCUGUGCAAGCACCUUUCUCAAUUAACUGAAGAAUUUAUUGGGUCGUGUCAUCUAAAGCAAGGGAUCUCGAAUUUCAGUUAAGAAAGUGCUAGUAGUAACUGAAAUUGACAUCAAAUUACCUUGUGCUUCACUUGUCCAUCGUGAAAGAGAAUCGGGUCCACUGUUUUCCACUCCAGCCUUAUGCUCAAUUGUAAAUUCAAACCCUAACAGCUUUGUCAACCAAGUUUGCUGCUCUGGUGUCUGUUAGUUUGUGUAAGGAGUUGCUUGGGGCUUUUAUGAUCAGUGAAUAUGGUAAAGGGUCGGCCCAAGAGAUAUGGAUGCCAUCGUCGAACUGCUGCCGUGAUUGCAUACAUCUCACGACUAUAUGCAGAUGCAGAUUGAAGUCUUGGUGGCAACUUCUUACUGAAAUAAGCAAUUGGAUGUCGAUUUUGGGAGAGAAUCACACCCACAGCGAGACCAGAGGCAUCUGUUUCCACUGCAAAGGCUUUGGAAAAAUCUGGUAAGGCUAAGACAUAAACUUCAGUCAGAGCGCGUUUGAGACGCUCAAAAGGUAAGUCAGCAGCUUCACCCCAGUCAAAUCCGUCCUUCUUAAGCAAAUCAGUUAAUGGGCUUGUAAUUUGGGCAUACCCCUUUACAAAACGUUGGUAAUAUCCUGUGAGUACAAGGAAACCCCUCACAACAGCAAUUGUUUUUGGUUUAGGCCAAUUUAAGACAGCUUGAAUUUUGGUGGGAUCAACACUCACUCCUUGGGCUGAAACAAAAUGGCUGAGAUACUCUAAUUUAGCUUGGCCGAAACUGCACUUGGACAACUUAGCAUACAAUUGGUUUUGGUGGAGCAGCUAUAGAACAAUUUUGAGAUGAUAAAUGUGUUCUUCAUGGGAUCAACUGUAAACAAUAAUGUCGUAAAAAAAAACUAGAAUGAACUUACUAAGAUAAGGUUUGAAAAUAGAGUUCAUUGUGGCUUGAAAUAUGGAGGUGGCAAUGGACAACCCAAAGGGCAUUACAAAAAACUCGUAAUGACCUUCAUAUGUUCGAAAUGUGGUUUUCGGAAUGUCGGAUGGGUGGAUCCGAAUUUGAAAAUACCCACUCCGUAAAUCAAUCUUUGAAAAAAUGAUGGCCCCAUGUAAUUUAUCUAGUAAUUCAUCUACUGUAGGUAUCGGAAAUCGAUCCUUGAUAGUGAUGGCAUUUAGAGCUCUAUAAUCGACACAAAAUUGCCAUGUCCCAUCUUUUUUGCGAACCAAGAGGACGAGUGAGGAGAAUGAGUUGGUGGAAGGUUUUAUAAUUUGAUCUUGAAGCAUUUCUUGAACUUGCCUCUCGAUUUCAUCUUUUUGGUAAUAAGGGUAGUGGUAUGGUUUAACAUUCACAGUAGUAGAUUCUGGGAGAAUAGUGAUUUUGUAGUUGAGGGGUCUAUUUGGUGGAAGGCCUUUUGGGAUGCUAAAUACAACUGAAUAUUGGUUUAGUAGUGUUAGGAAAUCUUGGUGAAGGGUGGAAUCUAUGGACUGGUGAAUAUUCUGGGUUGAAGAUGGAUUGGCUGGUUGGAGUUCUAAACGGAAGUACUGAGCUAUUGAGGUAGUCUGAUGUAGUCUUUUGAGUUAGUGAAAGGAUAUAGGAGUGGGGUUGGGCCGAAUAUUUUGAGCUCCUUCAAGUUUAAUAAGCUGCCUUUUAUAUGUAAAUUCCAUAGUUAGGGCUUUGUGAUCAGUGAUAAUUUUCCCCAACUUCUCCAGCCAUUGUACCCCCAAAACAACAUCAGCUCCAGAAAAAUCUAGUAUAUGAAAGUCAGCUUCAAAUUCAACACCCUGCAUCUCGAAUUUAACUUUCGAACAGUGACCUUCGCUGCGAAUCCGUUCCCUAUUGACGACAGCUACCAAAAACCUCAUUGUCUUCUUAAUAGCCAAAUGAAGGAAGUGAGCCAACCGUGGGUGAAGAUAAUUAUGUGUACUCCUAGUGUCAACCACUACUGAUAAAGGUUGAUUGUUAAUUUUUGCACUGAGUCUGAAGGUCUGGGGACCAGUUGUUCCAAUCAAAGCAUGAAAAGAAAUUUCGGGGCUUGGAUUCGCUGCUUCUUCUUUAGGCACCGUAUCCUCCACCAAUAUUUCUUCUUCUUGAAAACUUUCUAAUGGUUCCUCUGUCAACAAUAACAUAUAAGGGCGAGUGCGACAACGAUGAACCGGCUUGAAUCAUUCAUCGCAAUUGAAGCACAAGCCUUGAGCACGACGUGUUUGCAUCUCGGCGGCCGUGAGAUGAUGAGUAGGAAUGGCGGUCUUUGGUGGUUUUGAUGGAUUUGGUGGUAGAAGGGGUAAAAGUGGAGGCCGUGGGUCUGGCCGUAUAUUUGUUUCAUUGCGGGUAUAUAUGGGUAUUGGUGUAUUGGUUGGUUUCCAUGAAAUGGAUUUUUGGUUAUAAGAUUGCAAUUUAUCUUCAAUCAAUUUGGCUAAAGCAAUUGCAUCAGGAAGGUUAGAAGGUUUAUGAAUAGCUAACUCAUUUUGAAUGGUUGGUUUUAAACCUGAGAUAAAGCAAUCUAAAAUGGCAUCUGGGUGAAGGUUGGUGACUUUGUUACAGAUGUUUUCAAUGGCUGAUUGGUAAGCCUCUACAGAACUUGUUUGGGUAAGUUUGAAUAAAGUGGCUCGGUGAUUAAUAUAUGAGGAAGGGCUAAACCUGCUUUCAAUAACUCGGGUGAGAGCUGCCCAGGAAGAUAAUUGUUGAUUCUUGUGCAUCCAUUGGAACCAAGAGAGUGCUUGGCUAGUCAUAUAGAAAUUGGCGAUAUCAAUCCGUUGUUCCUCUGGGGUUUCAUAGAAAGAAAAGUAUUUUUCAGCUUGAAAUAUCCAAUCUAAGGGGUUAGAUCCAUCAAAUGUUGAUAGAUCACAUCGUAUAGAUCUUGUGCUUUGUGUGGGUUGUAGUUGAGCUUGUACAAGUUGUGUAUUUUGUGGUGCAGAGGCUGGUAGGAUUGUGGAGGACCCAAUUUGAGAGGGUGCCAUCAUGGUAACUCUGGCAGCAAGCUCUGCUAUAGAGUUUUGUAGGGCUUGUUGUGCACCUUGUAGGUUUUGUUGUGAACUUUGGUUAAUUUGUUGCUGUUGUAUUAUGAUUUGGCGUAGGUCUUCAUGGGAUUUUUGGGUCGAUUCUUUGAGUUGUGUGACCUGUUCUUCAAGGGCUCGAUAUCGUGUUUGCAUACCCUCGUUUGUCAUCUCUCAAUGAAAGCACCAAAUGAUGGGCAUGACUGAUAGCAGCAGCAAGUUCUGGAAUUUAAGUUUCCACUUUAGAGGGUGGAGUCCUCCAGAAUUGGAAAGAGUAAAGAGUAGAGACUAGAGAAAAUAAAGGAACAGAGGAAUUGUAUUUUGGAUUUUAAGGAGCUUCCCUUUUCUUGUUCAUUCAUUUUCUUAAAUUCUCAUUCAAGAGACCUACAGACAAAUUCUAGAAACGGCUAAAAAAUAUUCUCUCUAAUAAACUUGACAGCACAGAAAAACAGAAUUGCAAUAAUAAGUAAAUAACAAAUUCAGCACAAUAUCUUAAGAAUAUCUAAGUGCUGUAAUCGGUGCACCAUCAUUCCCGCACAAAAUCUUGAAGCUUGAAGGGAAUUUUGGGUUGUCUCUUAGGCCUAGCUUGAGCAACCGGCUGUGCAAUGGUUGUAUCACCUAGAAACCUAACCGAAUGGUUUCAAAUAAUCUUAGUUAGCUAGCCACCUAAGUUCGAAUCUUAGAGAGAUCAGGGUGAAAAAAUUAAUUUUGAUUGACCCAACCCUCUUACCAUCUAAGCAUGUCGUUGUAAAUAAAAAUUUAAAUACAAACUUAAUUAGCUAUAUAUACGAGAUUAAUGGAUAGAAUAUUUAUGUAAAAAUCAUUAUUUUAACAUAGUUUAUCCCUUUAUAAAUUAUAACUUGUAAAUAAUCUAUCAUAAGAUUGUUUAAGAGAGAGAGGAAAAAAAAAUUAAAGACGCAUGACAUAAUUUUAUUGAAUGGGUUAUUUCAGCACUUAUUACAUUACUUUAAACAGCGCUUUUGACAACACACAAACAAGGAAAGCAUUAUUGCACGUGUGUGGCUACUCUUCUGGAUCAUUAAAUAUGGUAAGAGACUCCAUCCUGCGCCUGAUUGCAAGCAUGAUCAUCUAUUUAAUUAUGAUAAAUUGUAGCAUCUGGCUGCGGAUCCGUACUACUAAUAACCUAUUUUUGUUGGGUCGGUUCAUGAAUUGAAAUAUCAGCCUUCAGCUCAAAGUCCUUGGCAUAUGAACUCUUCUUCGAUGGUUUAAUAUCAUUGUCAUAAAUUGAAACAUCAGGCAUGAGCUCGAAGCCUUUGGCGAAUGCCUUUGUUUGGCUAGCUUUACACCAUUGUUAUAAAUUGAAACAUCAGGCAUGAGUUCGAAGUCCUUGGCAGAGAACCUUUGUUUGGGUAGCUUUACACCAUUGUCAUAAAUAGAAACAUCAGGCAUGAGCUCGAAGUCCUUGGCGAAGAACUUUUGUUCGGUUGGCUUAAUGCCGUUGUCGUAAAUUGAAACAUCAGGCAUGAACUCGAAGUUCUUGGCGAAGGAUCUCUGCUUAUCUUUUGGUUUAAUGCCGUUGUCAUAAAUUGAAACAUCAGGCAUGAGCUCGAGGUCCUUGACAAAAGCCUUUUGUUUCGUCGUCUUAAUGCCGUUGUCAUAGAUUGAAACAUCAGGCAUCAGCUCUAAGUUCUUAUUGACAAAAGGCUUCUCCAUGGUGUGCUCAGAAUCUUCAUGUGUACGGCAAUAGGCUGUGGUUUUAGAGAUGGUCGAGGCUUGAUCUUCAGGAAUGAGACCUUGAGUUGAUUCCCCAGGCAUGUCUUCAUUUUUCACGACAAUUCUCCAAUAAUCUCUCAGGUCUUUUCUCGCAUCUAUCAUGUUGGCAAACUGCACACAAGGAAAACAAUUAAGAGGGGGAAAAAAAAGAGAGAGAGGAACUAUAUAUUGACCAUGCAAAUGAUAAAAAUUCGAAAAUCAUUUGAAUCAAAACGCGUAAUGCUAGAGCUAGCUAUAAUUAAGCUACUCUUAGAGCUGAUGUGAUAAAAUAGUAUUGGUAGAAUGAAAAUACAAAAUAAUGAUCGGGUUGUGUGGUGUUCUCAUCACAUUGAUACUUUACAUUAUGUGUUAUCAAUUUUGUACAAAAUAUUUUAUAUAAUGAAUAUGUGAUUAACCUAACAUUAUUACUGAUCAAAUGAUACAUACCAAGAGAAGCAAUGAGAGCAGUGUGGAGAGAACAAAGAAGGCUUUAAUAUUCAUGUUUCUGGCCAGUGACAAACAAUAUUAGAUACUGCGUUUGUAAUUUGCAUGGAGGCCAUACUGGUGUGUGUGUGUGUGUAUACACAGAUUGGAAGAAGUGGUAACAUGCUGUGGAAGGUUGGUGGAGCAUGCUCAUGUGGGUGAUUAAUCAUGGACCGCAAAGUCUAUGAGAAUUACAAUUCGCAACGAUAGAGAUGGCCCCUAAUUAUUUUAUUUUCAAAGUAAAAAAUUCUUCAAAAAUGAUAAGAUUUUACAUCUAUAGGAAUAUUCUCAAUCCAAACAAUACGGCUUUCUGAUCGCUAACUGCAAGUUUAGCUAAUCUAUGAACUUCCACGUUACAUAUUCUAGGAAUGAAUACAAAUUUGAAAUUGCCAGUUGUCUACCCAACAAUUAAAUAUCAGAGAUCACUCAAAGACGCGUUAAUUAAAUAUCAGAGAUCUCUUUUCUAGUACUUUCAAGUGCUGCAGCAAGAUUGAUAACAUUCUGAGUAUCUGAUUCAAUAAUUAAUGGAAAUAGACCCGUGCCGUUUGCAUAUUUCGAUCCCAAAUGUCAUUGCUUCUGCUUGAACGAAUUCAAUAUCUCCAAAAUUUUACUUUAGAUAGCUACUGCCAUAAUUAAUCUCCCCUCUCACAUUACGACUAAUGGCUCCUAGAAAAGCUGUGUUCCUCGAAAUAGCAGUAGCUGCAUCAACGUUCAACUUAAUUAUUAGUACACUGAAAUGAGAUAUAUCAGCUUAAUUUAGAUAAAAUUAAUUGCAGACAAGCGAUAGCAAUAAUGCAUUGAAUAUAUUGCAAUAACAAUUGUCUAUAAUUGAUAUUAUCUUCAGGUGUCUUCAAUUGUUAUUGUAGACUACGUAUAUCGAACAAUAAUGCAUUCUGUUCUAGUCUGAUUCCAUUACAUAAACAAUUCUUACAAGAAUUAAUUGCCAAUAAUGCUUCUUUGCUCAAGUUUAUAUAUAUCAAAGUUUAAAGUUUGUGGCAAAAAAAAAAAAAAAAAAACCGGUAGGGAAAGAAGCAGCAGUUUGGUUAGCUAGAAAGCGGCACACUUGAAUUUCAGGGUUUUACUUAGCCUAGAAAAUUAUUGGUUUUAAUGUUUAAUAAGGAAAGUAUAAAGUAAAUUAAAUCCUAGCUUUAGAAAAAUAUAAUGACAUGAGCUAAAUAAUCUCAUUCAACACUUAUGAGAUAUUAAGUUAGGAGCAGAUCCUAAUCUCUGGUGAUGAAGAUUAUUCCUACAAUAUUAUAUGAAAUAUUAAGUUAGGGGAAGAUCUAAAUUCAUAUGGUAAUAGAGAGUGUUGGUGUAAUAUGAUAUGUAUUUAAGUAACAAACCUUUUCAAGAGGAUUUAAUCUUUUGUGAAGAGGAUAAGAAGUUAGCCAUUUCCUACAAUUAUUGGUCCUUUUUUUUAAAAAAAAAAAAAUUCCGGCUGAAAUUUAUGAAUUUACCUUUCAUUUUCUUAUUGACUACUUUUUUAGACCAGCUAAUGAUAUAAUAUUUUCGUGGUAUCUUUAAUUAAUCAGCUAAUGAAUUCGUGAUAUAUCAUCAAUGACUCACUAAUAAUGUACAUGUGUAGAUGUGAUUAUUAUAUGUUUACUUUUUAAUUUUUGGAUCAUUUUCAAGAUUGAGCUAGCACCAAAUUCAUAAUAAUAUUGAAUUCAUUAAGAAGUUAGCCUUUUGCUUUUGCCACUUUUUGAAUUUGGCAUGAUUAUCAGGAUUCUGCAGCAGAAGACAAGUCGACAAGGUCUUAUCAACUUGAAUUCCUCUUGCAAAAUUAAAACUUCUUCGUCAGACAUAUGAACAAAAAUAACUAAAUUAUGAAAAAGACAAAACAUUGGGCAACAAUUUUUGACCGAUCCUAUAUGAAUCAUCUGUUGUUGUAGUGAUGGAAAAUGACAACAUAAUUAAAUAAUAGAAGUUCAACCACUACCAAUAUCCAUUUAUAUAAUAAACAAUAUUGAAAAAGAUUUUGAUUAAGGGGAUGUGUGCUAGUGGCUAGUGAUGAGAAGAAAAUCGACCUGCAAUCACACGUCUCUUUCAUUUGUCUAGCAUUUGAAACUCGUGCCCUUUUGAUUUUCGGUUUCUGCAUUAUCAUGUCCACGUAUAUUAUCCUUUAACCUUUUGUUCUUGACCCAUUGUAAGACAAUUAGAUGUACAUUUUUUUUUUAGGGAAAAGGAUAAACACACCCCUAACAUUUAGGUAAAGGGAUAAAAAGUUUUUUAAUGUUUUAAAAAAGACAUUUACACUCUAAUUUGUUAUAAUUUUACCAUUAUACCCUUCUAACAUAUAAAAAAAAUUAUUAGAUUAUUCAAUUUAUCUAUAUAUUGUUAAUAAAAUUAUAAAUAGACAAAUUGGAUAUUAUAAAAAAAAAUUAUAAAUAUACCCUCAUUGCCCAAUUCCUCUAUUUAAAUUUUUAUCAAUAACCAAUUUUCAAAAAAGACAUCUAUACACCUAAAAAAAUUGUAAAUAAAUUAUAAAUUUAAAAAUAAAAUUAGUUAUUAAUAACCAAUUUUAUUUAAACUUUAAACUUGUAUAUUUAACAAUUCUCCACAUGUCAAUCAUUUAAACUUGUACAUUUAUAACCAAUUUUCUAUGUUAUUUAUUAUGGUAUUAAUAACCAAUUUUAAUUUUAAAAUUAUAAUUUAUUUAUAAUUUUUUUUAAGUGUGUAGAUGUCUUUUUUGAAAAUUGGUUAUUAAUAAAAAUUUAAAUAGAGGAAUGAGGCAAUGAGGGUAUAUUUAUAAUUUUAUUAACAAUAUAUAGACAAAUAGGAUAAUCUAAUAAUUUGUUUUUUAUAUGCUAGAAGGGUAUAAUGAUAAAAUUAUAAUAAAUUGGGGUGUAAAUGUCUUUUUUGAAACAUUAGGGGGGUUUUUGUCCAUUUGCCUAAACGUUGGGGGUGUGUUUGUCCUGUUUCCUUUUUUUUAUUAAUAAAAUUUUGUUUCAACUUAUCCAGGUUCCACUGGAGAAUAUAAUUAAACUUCAAAUGAAAGAUGUUUGAAGUGAAAAUUGCGUUUAAAACAUUUUUUAUAUGACUUAUUAUUUGUUAUAUUUUUAAAGAUUGGGAGUGAGAAAAAUUCAGAUGAAUUUUUUAGUCUUUUUUUAAUUCGAAUUUAAAUAAUUAAUUAAUAAAAACUACUUAAAAAUCAUUCAGUAAAAUCCUACAGAUACUUAUUACCUUAUCUUUUAGUUGAAAUAGUGUGAUCCAUGGAAAUACAGUGAGUGCAACUUGUUAAUUUGACCGAAAAGUUUUUUAAAGAUUGUACGGGAGACUGGAGCCACGACGUUCACAUAUCCGACGCACACUAGGUUGAGAAGAGCUUUAGUGUACAUUACGUGACUCAAAGAUAUAAUUAUCCCAUUUUCGAAUGAAAAAAAUGCUAUUCAUCCUUGGAAACUACCAUGUCGAAUUUAAUUACGAUCUGCCUUCCCACUUUUUCUGCUCAGUUCUGUCUAUGUAUGGGGAAUAUUGAUACAGAUUUCGAGUCUGUAAUUAAUGUGUCAAAGAGAGUUUCCAAAUUGCAAGUAAAUUUUUUAAUAAGAAAUCAAUUUUAGGUCUAGUAAAUCUAAUAUGCAAUGUUAUUAAUUGAAGUAAUCAUUCACUCAGUCAAAACUAUUAAAAUCCCCAGACAUGAUGAAGGUGCAAUACGUGUGUCCCCAUAUGAUUGGAGUGCUGAAUUCUUUGCUGGAUUGGACUAUUAAGGUCAUUAUUCAAACUGUGUUGUGAUUCAAUUAAUCAGCACAGUAGAACAAGUUCAGCUUAUGCAGGCUAUAAAUUUCCACUUGAAAAUCAACACACAUCAUUUGGUUGUUGACAUAUACAGUCACACAAUCUCUUCUCUUUCUGCUUCACUUGUUAUCUGUGUUUCCUCUCCCUGAAAAAAAAAAACAUUACUAAAAUACGUAAGAAACUUCGAUAAUAGAAAAGAGAUGGGGUUAAGAUUUUCAGCUUGGAACCUCCUUCUUUCUCUACUCUUUCUGGUAAUAAUCCUCAAUGUGUGCUAAUGAAGUGGCUUACUUUGCAAUACAUGUACAUAAGUGUUGUCUUAAAGCAAUAACUCAAAAAGAUAUAUUUUGCUCCUUCAGUUUUACACUUUAUAGAACUUGUGUUGUUGAUUUUUCAUCUAUGUUGUGAUAUUGAAUUGCUCAACUGUUUUACAGUGUGCUCAGGUGCUUUCGGAGAAUCUUCAUGAUUCUCAUUCAAUACCAUCCCACAUGAAUCACAUGGACCCUUCAACGAUGGUGUUCUUCACCUUGAAGGAUCUAAAGAUUGGCGAAACGAUGCCGAUUUAUUUUCGCAAGAGAGAUCCUUCAGCUUAUCCUCAGGCUUUGCCUAGAGAAGAAGCAGAUUCCAUUCCAUUUUCAUUGAAACAACUGCCUUACCUUCUUCAAUUCUUCUCGUUCUCAGAUGACUCACCCCUAGCCAAAGCCAUGGAAGGGACCCUGAAUCAUUGCGAAGUUCCUCCCAUCGAAGGAGAAACCAAAAUUUGUGCUACCUCUUUGGAAUCCAUGCUUGAUUUUGUACACGGAACUUUCGGAUUGGAGACCAAAUUCCGAGUUCUAAGCACAAAAUUUCUCACAAAAUCAGCUACCAUUUUCCAAAAUUACACUAUUUUACAAGUGCCUAAACCAAUGGUUGCUCCCAAGAUGGUGGCAUGUCAUAUCAUGCCUUACCCUUAUGCAAUCUUCUACUGCCACAGCCAAAUGACUGAGAACAAGUUAUUCGGUGUUUCAUUAGGUGGUGAUAAUGGAGAUAGAGUGGAAGCUGUAGCAGUUUGCCACAUGGAUACGUCUCAUUGGAGUCGAGAUCAUGCAUCGUUUCGUGUGCUUGGGAUCGAGCCAGGGAGCUCCCAUGUCUGCCAUUUCUUCCAGGCUGAUAAUAUUGUAUACAUUCCAGCACCUACCUACCAUGAUUAAAAAUGUAUUGGUAAUGUGACUGUUAAAGCCAUAUGUAUAGCGUAUAAUAAUAAAUCUUACUGGUAAUAAAUGAUUUUCGAUUUCUGAACGUUGUUCAAUUGGUUGUAUUUCGGAGUUGAUUGGAAACAAUAUUGUUUCAGUAGAUUUGCCAACCCAAUAGACUAUCUCUCUUUUCAUUUCUUUGAUCUCACUGAAAAGAAAUAUUAAGCUGAAAAUAUUAUCUUAUUUCUUGUAAAGAACGAGAGGGUUACAAGCUUAUAUACAAGUGUCAAAGCCAGCCAAAUCUCUUAGAGUAAUGGCUAGACAGGCUGUCCUAUUUACAUUAAGGAAUGGAAUCGAGGAUGCUCAUCUUUAUUGUGAUUUUGUUGAGAUAUUUGCCGCCAAUAAUAUUUGUGGCCAUGUGGCUGAUUAAUCGAGGGCUGUAGCUACUGAUUGUAUGGUUUAUCACUCAUCUCAUGAUAAUUUCCUUUAGCAUGCACGACCGUUUGAAAUAGGCUCUGCCAUGGCAAUCACGACAGAGUUAUCCUUUUUCAAUGUAUG
Molecule: long non-coding RNA, 15460 nt
Filed under: Citrus sinensis (sweet orange)
Lineage: Eukaryota; Viridiplantae; Streptophyta; Magnoliopsida; Sapindales; Rutaceae
Description: long non-coding RNA (CSIN_LNC003361)
Source: RNAcentral